CCUACGGGUGGCAGCAGUGGGGAAUAUUGGACAAUGGGCGAAAGCCUGAUCCAGCCAUGCCGCGUGUGUGAAGAAGGCCUUCGGGGUGUAAAGCACUUUCAGUGGGGAAGAAAGCCUUGGGGCUAAUACCCUCGAGGAAGGACAUCACCCACAGAAGAAGCACCGGCUAACUCCGUGCCAACAGCCGCGGUAAUACGGAGGGUGCGAGCGUUAAUCGGAAUUACUGGGCGUAAAGCGCGCGUAGGCGGUCUGAUAAGCCGGUUGUGAAAGCCCCGGGCUCAACCUGGGAACGGCAUCCGGAACUGUCAGGCUAGAGUGCAGGAGAGGAAGGUAGAAUUCCCGGUGUAGCGGUGAAAUGCGUAGAGAUCGGGAGGAAUACCAGUGGCGAAGGCGGCCUUCUGGACUGACACUGACGCUGAGGUGCGAAAGCGUGGGUAGCAAACAGGAUUAGAUACCCUAGUAGUC
This 465-nucleotide ribosomal RNA is filed under the name Vreelandella stevensii. RNAcentral's name for it is "partial 16S ribosomal RNA". It matches the Rfam family "Bacterial small subunit ribosomal RNA", at positions 338 to 795 of the family's 1533-position model. Lineage: Bacteria; Pseudomonadati; Pseudomonadota; Gammaproteobacteria; Oceanospirillales; Halomonadaceae. The record is from RNAcentral.